RNAcentral lists this ribosomal RNA (465 nucleotides) under uncultured bacterium. RNAcentral describes it as "partial 16S ribosomal RNA". It matches the Rfam family "Bacterial small subunit ribosomal RNA", at positions 28 to 507 of the family's 1533-position model. The record is from RNAcentral.
GACGAACGCUGGCGGCGUGCUUAACACAUGCAAGUCGAACGGAAAGGCCCUGCUUGCAGGGUACUCUAGUGGCGAACGGGUGAGUAACACGUGGGUGAUCUGCCCUUCACUUCGGGAUAAGCCUGGGAAACUGGGUCUAAUACCGGAUAGGAGCCAUUUUUAUUGUGAUGGUUGGAAAGUUUUUUCGGUGUAGGAUGAGCUCGCGGCCUAUCAGCUUGUUGGUGGGGUAAUGGCCUACCAAGGCGGCGACGGGUAGCCGGCCUGAGAGGGUGGACGGCCACAUUGGGACUGAGAUACGGCCCAGACUCCUACGGGAGGCAGCAGUGGGGAAUAUUGCACAAUGGGCGCAAGCCUGAUGCAGAGACGCCGCGUGGGGGAUGACGGCCUUCGGGUUGUAAAAUCCUUUCGCUAGGGACGAAGCUUUUUGUGACGGUACCUAGAUAAGAAGCACCGGCUAACUACGUG